Small nucleolar RNA from Dioscorea cayenensis subsp. rotundata (Guinea yam), 93 nucleotides. NCBI's taxonomy places the organism in Eukaryota, Viridiplantae, Streptophyta, Magnoliopsida, Dioscoreales, Dioscoreaceae. The record is from RefSeq and is a predicted model, not a curated record.
AAGCCUGUGAGGAAUAAUUAUCAAAGUUGGAAUUACCAGCUGAGGUUGAGAAACCAGUGUGAUGAAAACCAAUCUGGCUGUCUGAGGCUUAUU